RNAcentral lists this ribosomal RNA (825 nucleotides) under uncultured bacterium. Its description in RNAcentral is "bacterial SSU rRNA". It matches the Rfam family "Bacterial small subunit ribosomal RNA", at positions 61 to 894 of the family's 1533-position model. The record is from RNAcentral.
GUCGAACGGAAAGGCCCUGCUUUUGUGGGGUGCUCGAGUGGCGAACGGGUCCAUUAACACGUGAGUAACCUGCCCUUGACUUUGGGAUAACUUCCGGAAACUGGGGCUAAUACCGGAUAGGAGCUCCUGCUGCAUGGUGGGGGUUGGAAAGUUUCGGCGGUUGGGGAUGGACUCGCGGCUUAUCAGCUUGUUGGUGGGGUAGUGGCUUACCAAGGCUUUGACGGGUAGCCGGCCUGAGAGGGUGACCGGCCACAUUGGGACUGAGAUACGGCCCAGACUCCUACGGGAGGCAGCAGUGGGGAAUAUUGCACAAUGGGCGGAAGCCUGAUGCAGCAACGCCGCGUGCGGGAUGACGGCCUUCGGGUUGUAAACCGCUUUCGCCUGUGACGAAGCGUGAGUGACGGUAAUGGGUAAAGAAGCACCGGCUAACUACGUGCCAGCAGCCGCGGUGAUACGUAGGGUGCGAGCGUUGUCCGGAUUUAUUGGGCGUAAAGGGCUCGUAGGUGGUUGAUCGCGUCGGAAGUGUAAUCUUGGGGCUUAACCCUGAGCGUGCUUUCGAUACGGGUUGACUUGAGGAAGGUAGGGGAGAAUGGAAUUCCUGGUGGAGCGGUGGAAUGCGCAGAUAUCAGGAGGAACACCAGUGGCGAAGGCGGUUCUCUGGGCCUUUCCUGACGCUGAGGAGCGAAAGCGUGGGGAGCGAACAGGCUUAGAUACCCUGGUAGUCCACGCUGUAAACGGUGGGUACUAGGUGUGGGGUCCAUUCCACGGGUUCCGUGCCGUAGCUAACGCUUUAAGUACCCCGCCUGGGGAGUACGGCCGCAAGGC